Molecule: ribosomal RNA, 482 nt
Filed under: uncultured bacterium
Lineage: Bacteria
Description: partial 16S ribosomal RNA
Rfam family: Bacterial small subunit ribosomal RNA
Source: RNAcentral
AUUGAACGCUGGCGGCAUGCCUUACACAUGCAAGUCGAACGGUAACGGGCCUUCGGGUGCCGACAAGUGGCGAACGGGUGAGUAAUACAUCGGAACGUGCCCGAUCGUGGGGGAUAACGAGGCGAAAGCUUUGCUAAUACCGCAUACGAUCUACGGAUGAAAGCAGGGGACCGCAAGGCCUUGCGCGGACGGAGCGGUCGAUGGCAGAUUAGGUAGUUGGUGGGAUAAAAGCUUACCAAGCCGACGAUCUGUAGCUGGUCUGAGAGGAUGAUCAGCCACACUGGGACUGAGACACGGCCCAGACUCCUACGGGAGGCAGCAGUGGGGAAUUUUGGACAAUGGGCGCAAGCCUGAUCCAGCCAUGCCGCGUGCAGGAUGAAGGCCUUCGGGUUGUAAACUGCUUUUGUACGGAACGAAAAGCCUUCUUUUAAUACAGGAGGGUCAUGACGGUACCGUAAGAAUAAGCACCGGCUAACUACGUG